UAACGGCUGAACCAGCAACUUGGGGGAAUAAAUAUAAUGAUAUAAAUAAUAUCAUUAUUUUUCUAAAUAGGAUAAUGAUUAUGACAAUUUUCUAUUUAUAAGUCUUGACCAAAUUACGUGCCAGCAGUCGCGGUAAUACGUAGAAGACAAGUGUUAGUCAUCUUGAUUGGGUUUAAAGGGUACCUAGACGGUAUAAUAAAUCUGAUAAAGAUAUUUAUUUACUAGAGUUUUAUAGGAGAAAGGGAGAACUUUUGGAGGAAAGAUAUAAUUUUUUAAUACCAAUAGGACUGAUAACGGCGAAGGCGACUUUCUAUGUUAAAACUGACGUUGAGGGACGAAGGCUUGGGGAGCGAAAAGGAUUAGAUACCCUAAUAGUCCAAGCAGAAAAUUAUGAAUGCCAUAAGUUAGAUUCAACAUUUAACUUGUAUUAUAAGUUUAAAUGUACAAAUAUAUUUGACAUAUAAAUGAAAGUGUAAGCAUUCCACCUUAAGAGUAAGAUGGCAACAUUGAAACUGAAAUCAUUAGACCGU
RNAcentral lists this ribosomal RNA (530 nucleotides) under Blastomyces dermatitidis. RNAcentral describes it as "bacterial SSU rRNA". It matches the Rfam family "Bacterial small subunit ribosomal RNA", at positions 377 to 917 of the family's 1533-position model. Lineage: Eukaryota; Fungi; Ascomycota; Eurotiomycetes; Onygenales; Ajellomycetaceae. The record is from RNAcentral.